This 1388-nucleotide long non-coding RNA is filed under the name Sarcophilus harrisii (Tasmanian devil). RNAcentral describes it as "lncRNA (ENSSHAG00000025443.1)". Lineage: Eukaryota; Metazoa; Chordata; Mammalia; Dasyuromorphia; Dasyuridae. The record is from RNAcentral.
GGACAAGCCCACUAGAGGCUUUGGGAGAUUCACAAGUCAGAAACCCACAAACCCACUCUCUGGGAGGCAGAGUCAAUUCAUUCCAACUUCUACCUUUGUGCUGGCUGGAGGGUUUAGAUUUGGAAGGAGCUAGAGGUUGAAGUUGGCAGAGGCAAAGGACAAGGGGCAAGAGCUUUUGGAACCAAGGAGAGAGAUAGGCCUCUAAGAAAACUAACUGGGCUAUUUUGGAAGAGACAAUAAAGGACUGGACUUUAACUCCUGGCUGCAUUUGAGAUAAUUAUUACACUGAAUUGAAAGGAAGGCUGCCUCCAGAAGCUUCCCAAGAAACCUGCUCCCAAAGAACAUAUUUUCAGAGAAGAGAACAUUACAUUUUGGCGCCCGAAUGUGGGAAAGACACAAUCCUGAUCUCAGUGGAAAAGCCUCUGAUCCUGAUUUCAGUGGAAAAGUCUCCUUGACCCAGAAAUUAGGUUCUUCAGUACUGCUGGUUCCAUGUCUUAUAAUCAUAUGACAACUGUAAAAUAUUGGCAUUAAAAAAGAGAGGCUUUUGUUUGAGGAAGAUAUCUGGGGUCAUUAAAAGGGCGUCUCCGCCUUCCUGAGAAAUCAGGAAGCUUGACAACCUGAGAAGUCAGGAGGCAUGACAACCUGUGUUGUUCUUGAAGCAGAGUUAUGGCAAGGAAACAUCUGCACACAAUAGCAAGUUGUUUAUGUGGUCCUGCAUGUGCAGUAUCCUAAUAAACAGACUCUGUUAGACCAUCCUCAUGAGUUCCGCCUCAUCACUCCUCACCCAUGAUCAGGACUUGGGCUGGUACCGAAGACCUCCCGUGGGCAGGUCCAGACAAAAUCCAACCUCAGACACCUACUAGUUGUUUGAGCCUGCGCAAGUCACUUAACCCUGAUUUGUCUAGGUUUCCUGGAGCUAGAAAAGGAAAUGGCAAAGCAUGUCAAUAUUUCUGCUAAGAAAACCUCAGGUGCAAGAUGGCCUGACCAUCCACACAGGAAAUAUCAAGUGGAUAAAGAAUUAUUUCAUCUGCUUAGAUAAUGACAAUUCUAAAAGAGUCACACACAACUGAAGAGAUUCAACAACAACAGCAAGAGUGAGCUUGGCAACCAGGAAACUCUGGCAAGUCAUUAACCUGCUUUAUCUUUGUGUUCACCAUUUCCUUUGACAAAUGUAAACAAUACCACCUUCUCUACCAAUGCUCUCACAGGUUCACUGCAGCUGUGUAGCUCAUACAAGGUGGCUGGUCUUCCCACAUUCAAGAUGGAAUUAGUUGGAGUCAAAGCAGACAAAGGAAUCCUCCUUUCAAAGUAAAUAUUAAAAGGAAGAUGAGAUCAAAUAUUUUUCAGUCCUUGAAAUAAUCUGCAAGUCACCUUUAUACAUAAAAAAU